CAUGGAUAUAAUAAGCUCUAAUUGCAUAACUAUACAACUUUCUUUUGUUGAUAGAUGUGACCUGGAUUGGUAAAAACUGCAAAAGGAGGUGUAGACGUGAUUGGAACAUAUGUAUUUUGGAAUGGAUGAGCCAUCACUUGAUUUUCUAAAAACAUCUAAAAGUGCUAGGUUAGUAGCAUGUAAACUAUAGUUAAAGAUUGCGAUUUUUGACUCAUUUGUAUACACUAUCAAUUGGUUCGGGUCGAUAUUGGUUAGGA
Molecule: long non-coding RNA, 257 nt
Filed under: Helianthus annuus (common sunflower)
Lineage: Eukaryota; Viridiplantae; Streptophyta; Magnoliopsida; Asterales; Asteraceae
Description: hypothetical non coding rna
Source: RNAcentral